Molecule: ribosomal RNA, 506 nt
Filed under: uncultured bacterium
Lineage: Bacteria
Description: partial 16S ribosomal RNA
Rfam family: Bacterial small subunit ribosomal RNA
Source: RNAcentral
GAUGAACGCUAGCUACAGGCUUAACACAUGCAAGUCGAGGGGUAACGAGAGGGAAGCUUGCUUUCCUUGUCGACGACCGGCGCACGGGUGAGUAACGCGUAUCCAACCUGCCCCCAACUAGGGAAUAACCUUGCGAAAGUAAGACUAAUACCCUAUAAUUUCCUCAGAUGUCAUCUGACGAGGAAUAAAGAUUUAUCGGUUGUGGAUGGGGAUGCGUCUGAUUAGCUUGCUGGCGGGGUAACGGCCCACCAAGGCAACGAUCAGUAGGGGUUCUGAGAGGAAGGCCCCCCACAUUGGAACUGAGACACGGUCCAAACUCCUACGGGAGGCAGCAGUGAGGAAUAUUGGUCAAUGGGCGGAAGCCUGAACCAGCCAAGUAGCGUGCAGGAUGACGGCCCUGUGGGUUGUAAACUGCUUUUAUACAGGAAUAAAGUUAGCCACGUGUGGUUAUUUGUAGGUACUGUAUGAAUAAGGACCGGCUAAUUCCGUGCCAGCCGCCGCCGUAA